Non-coding RNA from Triticum aestivum (bread wheat), 135 nucleotides. Lineage: Eukaryota; Viridiplantae; Streptophyta; Magnoliopsida; Poales; Poaceae. The record is from Rfam.
GAAGUACUCCCUCCGUCCCAAAAUUCUUGUCUUAGAUUUGUCUAGAUAGAGAUGUAUCUAAUACUAAAACGUGACUUGAUACAUCCGUAUUUAGACAAAUCUAAGACAAGAAUUUUGGGACGGAGGAAGUAUUGU